AAUGAAACGAUGAUGAAGAAAGAUAGAUGUGAAACCAAUAUCAGAGAGCUAGUGGUUGCUGUGAACUAGUUUGGUUCCUUCUUGAAAGCCCUUCGGAGUUCAUGUGCUGAACUUGAUGAAAUAGUAGGUACAUACGGAUAAUCCGUUAUCUUGGAGUUGAUUCUCCCCGAGUUGCGUUAGCAAAAAAUGAGGGUGGUACCGCGGUUUAAACCUUCCGCCCCUCAC
This 225-nucleotide non-coding RNA is filed under the name Halalkalibacter hemicellulosilyticus. RNAcentral's name for it is "Bacillus hemicellulosilyticus T-box sequence". It matches the Rfam family "T-box leader". Rfam says of the family: Uncharged tRNA acts as the effector for transcription antitermination of genes in the T-box leader family. T-boxes are found upstream of many aminoacyl-tRNA synthetase genes and some amino acid biosynthetic genes usually in Gram-positive bacteria. Lineage: Bacteria; Bacillati; Bacillota; Bacilli; Caryophanales; Bacillaceae. The record is from RNAcentral.